GAAAUGCGAUAAGUAGUGUGAAUUGCAGAAUUCAGUGAAUCAUCGAAUCUUUGAACGCACAUUGCGCCCUUUGGUAUUCCUUAGGGCAUGCCUGUUCGAGCGUCAUUUGUAACCUCAAGCUUAGCUUUGUGUUGGGUGUCUGUCCCCGCCCCGCGCGGGGACUCGCCUCAAAAACAUUGGCGGCCGGUACGUUGGCUUCGAGCGCAGCAGAAACGCGAACUCGAGGCCCGACGGAUCGGCGACCAGAAGUCACUUCUUCCACAGCUUGACCUCGGAUCAGGUAGGGAUACCCGCUGAACUUAAGC
RNAcentral lists this unclassified non-coding RNA (305 nucleotides) under plant metagenome. RNAcentral describes it as "partial contains 5.8S ribosomal RNA, internal transcribed spacer 2, and large subunit ribosomal RNA". The stretch from base 1 to 105 matches the Rfam family "5.8S ribosomal RNA", at positions 50 to 154 of the family's 154-position model. The record is from RNAcentral.